CCUACGGGAGGCAGCAGUGGGGAAUAUUGGGCAAUGGGCGCAAGCCUGACCCAGCAAUGCCGCGUGAAGGAAGAAGGCUUUCGGGUUGUAAACUUCUUUGACAGGGGAAGAGCAGAAGACGGUACCCUGAAAACAAGCCACGGCUAACUACGUGCCAGCAGCCGCGGUAAUACGUAGGUGGCAAGCGGUGUCCGGAUUUACUGGGUGUAAAGGGCGUGUAGCCGGGAAUGCAAGGCAGAUGUGAAAUCUGGAGGCUCAACCUCCAAAUUGCAUUUGAAACUGUUGUUCUUGAGUACUGGAGAGGCAGACGGAAUGCCUUGUGUAGCGGUGAAAUGCGUAGAUAUAAGGAGGAACACCAGUGGCGAAGGCGGUCUGCUGGACAGCAACUGACGGUGAGGCGCGAAAGCGUGGGGAGCAAACAGGAUUAGAUACCCUAGUAGUC
This 442-nucleotide ribosomal RNA is filed under the name uncultured bacterium. Its description in RNAcentral is "partial 16S ribosomal RNA". It matches the Rfam family "Bacterial small subunit ribosomal RNA", at positions 338 to 795 of the family's 1533-position model. The record is from RNAcentral.